RNAcentral lists this ribosomal RNA (253 nucleotides) under uncultured bacterium. RNAcentral's name for it is "partial 16S ribosomal RNA". It matches the Rfam family "Bacterial small subunit ribosomal RNA", at positions 524 to 776 of the family's 1533-position model. The record is from RNAcentral.
UACGGGGGGGGCAAGCGUUGUUCGGAAUUACUGGGCGUAAAGGGCUCGUAGGUGGCCAACUAAGUCAGACGUGAAAUCCCUCGGCUUAACCGGGGAACUGCGUCUGAUACUGGAUGGCUUGAGUUCGGGAGAGGGAUGCGGAAUUCCAGGUGUAGCGGUGAAAUGCGCAGAUAUCUGGAGGAACACCGGUGGCGAAGGCGGCAUCCUGGACCGACACUGACGCUGAGGAGCGAAAGCCAGGGGAGCAAACGGG